GGACAAAGCUAUAAAUUUAAAGCAUUUGGUUACUUGUUCUUUUAGAAUUCUAGAAAUAAUACAUGCCUCUUCCCCACUCCAGGACACAUGUGCACACACAUGUGCACGCACACACACAACUAGUGAUGAAGACCCACAUCCGGGAGGUCAGAAUAGGAAAGAUGUGGACUCCCUUAAGGAUUCAGGUAAAAUGGAGGGAAAGGUUGGUCAGGACAGAGUGAUGAAGAAUUAAGUCAUUAUGGGGAAAUGAACUGUCAUCUAGCUUCACAGAAAAAUAAAACGCUUUUCUUUUCCACAUUAAAACUGAAGAACAUAUGCCUUCUUACUCUACUUGAAA
RNAcentral lists this long non-coding RNA (337 nucleotides) under Homo sapiens (human). RNAcentral's name for it is "HSALNT0302495". The record is from RNAcentral. Lineage: Eukaryota; Metazoa; Chordata; Mammalia; Primates; Hominidae.